RNAcentral lists this ribosomal RNA (424 nucleotides) under uncultured prokaryote. Its description in RNAcentral is "bacterial SSU rRNA". It matches the Rfam family "Bacterial small subunit ribosomal RNA", at positions 355 to 796 of the family's 1533-position model. The record is from RNAcentral.
UGGGGAAUAUUGGGCAAUGGGGGCAACCCUGAUCCAGCCAUGCCGCGUGAGUGAUGAAGGCCUUAGGGUUGUAAAGCUCUUUCGCUAGGGAAGAUAAUGACGGUACCUAGUAAAGAAGCCCCGGCUAACUUCGUGCCAGCAGCCGCGGUAAUACGUAGGGGGCUAGCGUUGUUCGAAAUUACUGGGCGUAAAGCGCGCGUAGGCGGGCUAUUAAGUCAGGGGUGAAAUCCCGGGGCUCAACCUCGGAAUUGCCUCUGAUACUGGUAGUCUAGAGUCCGUGAGAGGUGAGUGGAACUCCGAGUAUAGAGGUGAAAUUCGUAGAUAUUCGGAAGAACACCAGUGGCGAAGGCGGCUCACUGGCACGGUACUGACGCUGAGGUGCGGAAGCGUGGGGAGCAAACAGGAUUAGAUACCCCCGUAGUCC